CAGCCGCCGCGGGAAAACGUAGGUGGCAAGCGUUGUCCGGAAUUAUUGGGCGUAAAGGGCUCGCAGGCGGUUUCUUAAGUCUGAUAUGAAAGCCCCCGGCUCAACCGGGGAGGGUCAUUGGAAACUGGGAAACUUGAGUGCAGAAGAGGAGAGUGGAAUUCCACGUGUAGCGGUGAAAUGCGUAGAGAUGUGGAGGAACACCAGUGGCGAAGGCGACUCUCUGGUCUGUAACUGACGCUGAGGAGCGAAAGCGUGGGGAGCGAACAGGAUUAGAUACCCCCGUAGUCCCUGUCUCUUAUAC
RNAcentral lists this ribosomal RNA (301 nucleotides) under uncultured bacterium. RNAcentral's name for it is "partial 16S ribosomal RNA". It matches the Rfam family "Bacterial small subunit ribosomal RNA", at positions 509 to 807 of the family's 1533-position model. The record is from RNAcentral.